Molecule: long non-coding RNA, 208 nt
Filed under: Elaeis guineensis (African oil palm)
Lineage: Eukaryota; Viridiplantae; Streptophyta; Magnoliopsida; Arecales; Arecaceae
Description: long non-coding RNA (EGUI_LNC018977)
Source: RNAcentral
GAACCAGCCCCCUUCUACUUCACCCUUUUCCUCUUCUUCCCUAAAGUAAAGUCCUAAUUUAUCACUGUGACGCCGCCUCACCCCCGUUGCCUCCCUCUUCCACUAUGCUGGUAUGCCGAGGUUCGCCUCCUCUGCCUCGCCUCGUCUGUGACAACUGGCACUCCGUCUUACCGCAGUGGCUCGAGAUCCUCCUCCAUCUCCCCAUCUC